RNAcentral lists this ribosomal RNA (50 nucleotides) under Tetrahymena sp. BOLD:AAO5061. RNAcentral describes it as "partial large subunit ribosomal RNA". Lineage: Eukaryota; Ciliophora; Oligohymenophorea; Hymenostomatida; Tetrahymenidae. The record is from RNAcentral.
CUACACCUGAAAUAAGCAAGAUUACCCCGCUGAACUUAAGCAUAUCAGUA